This is a long non-coding RNA of Capsicum annuum, 1121 nucleotides long. RefSeq lists it as uncharacterized. The transcript is spliced from 3 exons. The record is from RefSeq and is a predicted model, not a curated record. Lineage: Eukaryota; Viridiplantae; Streptophyta; Magnoliopsida; Solanales; Solanaceae.
AAUUUCACACAAUAAAAUUUAUAUAUUGCUAGUGUGGUCCAUCCAACACAUUUGUUUCAUUCUCUAUCUAUAUGGCCUUUGCCCUUAACUCUCCUCUCUUCAUACAAAAAGAAUCACUAUUUUCUCAAUUCUCCUCUCUUUUUCACUUGUUCAAUUUCCUUCUUCCUUAAGAAUUUUUGUGAAUUGACAAAUUUUAAGCUGCUGUUGACGACAAAGUCCAAGUCAUGCUUUUCCACAGCUUUCUUGAACUUCUUGCUGCUGAAUUUUUCAUCUCUAAAUUGGCAAAUUUUGAGAUGAGAUAUGAAGCUAUGAAAGUCCAAGAAAGCUGUGGGAAAAGAUGACAAGCUUUGGACUUGUUUUUUUCUUUGUUUGGUUCCAUAUGGAGUAUACUUGAAGAUAAUCAACCUAAUUUUCAUGCCGAAGACCUGUCAUCGGAAGCAAAGUUUAUCUAUUUUUGAGGAUAUAAGUGAGUUGCAAAAAUGCUGGCACCAAAAAGUUUCUUGAAUAAUUGUUGGACUUUGUAUUGUACAACACAAUUAUUAUGUGCAUUAAAUUAUAGUACCGUGCAGAGAAACACCAAAGCUAGCUAGCUAAUAGAGGAUCCCAAACUUUUUAGACUAUAUAAUUAAUUAUCCAACUAUUAUUGAUUGAGAGUCUAUCGGAAACAACUUCUCUACCAAAAGUAGAGGUGAAGUUUGUGUACGUUCUAUCUUCCCUACACCUUACUUAUGGAAUUACAUUGAGCUGCUGCUGUUGUAUUGCUUGAGCGUUCCUUUCCUAAUGUAUUUAUUAUAUCUCAAUCAGAUUCAGAUUCAGUAUAAUUUCAUAAAUAAAUUUGAUGAGAAUAAAGUACUAGGCAAAUCUUUUCCAUAUCUCAUAAAUAAAAAAAUUAUUUUUAUAGACCUUCGACUCGAAUAAUUCAUCUCAAAGAAUUUGAAAAAAGAACGAAAAUGGAUACAACGAAAGCCAAUUGAUAUUCUCCUUCAUUACACGUGGCUUUGUCACCACUAGCUAGUAGAUUGUUAUGUUGGCUAUUUGUAGAGAAGAAUUUUGUGUUUUUCUUGAUAAAUACUCCCUCCGUUUCAUAAUAAAUAAAUUAUUAAAUUUUGACACAUAGAUUA